GACGACGCCCUCGACGUUGUCCGCGCUGCUGACCUCGCUGGCGUUGGCCAUGUGGCAGUCAUCUACGAUUCUGGCGCCUCCGGUCCCUCAUCAGCCACGUCCACGUACAACGUGCUGGACGGGAUCACCUCCUUUUUCAAUAACAUCUUCUCAGGGCCAGGGCGGCUGACGGUUGAGGAGUUUCUAGCGAAGCUGGUGGAGACUGACGUGAGCUAUA
This 217-nucleotide unclassified non-coding RNA is filed under the name Hevea brasiliensis (rubber tree). Lineage: Eukaryota; Viridiplantae; Streptophyta; Magnoliopsida; Malpighiales; Euphorbiaceae. The record is from RNAcentral.